This is a long non-coding RNA of Triticum urartu, 1017 nucleotides long. RefSeq lists it as uncharacterized. Lineage: Eukaryota; Viridiplantae; Streptophyta; Magnoliopsida; Poales; Poaceae. The record is from RefSeq and is a predicted model, not a curated record.
AAUAUAGUUCAUCCUUACAAAAUAGUAGUGUCUACUUAACUAAUCUGUACUAAGAUCUGGUGGCUUUGGUAGUUUCAUCAGUAUCUUGCACUUCUUAUAUAUAAGGUCUCUUUAGGAACUUCUAAAUUUUUAUUUUAUCAUUAGUGGUGUGGUGUGUCUGGUCAAAUUGGUAUUACUAAUAGCUUUCUUUCAGUUUUCUCUUCAAUUACAACUUGUGGAAUUUGAGGAGAAUCUGUGCACCAGCAUCCGACUCCUUGAUGUUGCUCUGAUCAUAUUGUGUAAAUAUAUUUGUAAUAAAGCAAUCGCCCGAUGGUGUACAUGUUAGAAAUAACAAGAUGUAAUCAUCAAGUGUGAUAGAUGGCAACAUCAUGAUGGGAUGGUAUGUACUGUUGUGCUCAUCAAUAGGGGGAGCUCAAGGUCAUGGCGGGGCUUCGAUUUUUCUUGUACAAAAGAGAGACAGAGGAGGAUCCAGGGAGGAGAGGUAGGAGAAGAAGGACGGGGAAGUAAGAAGGGUGCAGUAGGGGUGAGUGUGCUUCCGCCUGCCACGCCCAAGGCUUGAUCUGCCGCCGCCUCUCCUCUACCCAUGUUGUCUGUGACACGUCAGAUCCCCAGCUGCCGGCACUUCUCCUCUGCCCAUGGGCCAUGGCUGUUCUGAUGCAUCAAAUCCACUGCAGAUCGAUUUGCUGUAACAUUGGCUGGGUGUUCUCUUCUCGACUCUACCAACACUCUGGAGUUACAAGCAAUUACAUCAGGAGCUCGGUCAAAAAUCACCUAAGAAAAAUAUGCCGUUCUUCUCUACAAGGGUUGCAUGUGGAAUUUGAGGAGAAUUUGUGCACCAGCAUCCGACUCCUUGAUGUUGCUCUGAUCAUAUUGUGUAAAUAUAUUUCUAAUAAAGCAAUCGCCCGAUGGUGUACAUGUUAGAAAUAACAAGAUGUAAUCAUCAAGUGUGAGCGAUGGCAACAUCAUGAUGGGAUGGUAUGUACUGUUGUGCUCAUCAAUAGAGUUAGAUCACUUUUC